Haliotis rubra (blacklip abalone) is the source of this 284-nucleotide long non-coding RNA. RefSeq lists it as uncharacterized. The transcript is spliced from 3 exons. NCBI's taxonomy places the organism in Eukaryota, Metazoa, Mollusca, Gastropoda, Lepetellida, Haliotidae. The record is from RefSeq and is a predicted model, not a curated record.
UGUAGCUUGGGCAUUCGGUGGAGCAACAAUGUUCUUGAUUUGAAGAUGGAUUUUCGGUUGCUCUCAACUGGCACUUUGUUGGUUUUGUGGGUGUGGACUUCUGUGUCGGGAACGUUUGAAAAUGAGGAUAUUCUGAGCAAGAUGGAUUCUGAGAGUGCCACAAUACGAUGGAUUCAGCACAAAGAGAAGACACAGAAAAGACGUUCUUUGGACAAUACGAUGACGCUGGAAAUAUACCUCCAUCAGUGGAACACUUCUAUGACCGUGGAACUUGUCCGCAACAG